AUGGAGCGGUUCAGCAAGGAGCAAGAGGAUGCCCUUCAACUCCUCUCCUCCCUCCAGGAACUUGACUUUUCAUGUUUCAAGGACCUUCACCAACUCCCUGCAGGGAUGAGCAACCUUACCAGCCUCAAGAAAUUAACAAUCUAUGAAUGUCCAGCCCUCUCAUCAUUGCCCAAGGAUGGCCUCCCCAAAUCACUUCAAGAGCUAAAUGUCGGAUUGUGCAGCAACCAGCAGAUAAGACAGGAGUGCCGCGGAUUAGAGGGAACCAUCCCGAAAAUCAUACUAUAA
Molecule: ribosomal RNA, 285 nt
Filed under: Triticum aestivum (bread wheat)
Lineage: Eukaryota; Viridiplantae; Streptophyta; Magnoliopsida; Poales; Poaceae
Description: partial small subunit ribosomal RNA
Source: RNAcentral